RNAcentral lists this ribosomal RNA (305 nucleotides) under uncultured bacterium. RNAcentral describes it as "partial 16S ribosomal RNA". It matches the Rfam family "Bacterial small subunit ribosomal RNA", at positions 336 to 658 of the family's 1533-position model. The record is from RNAcentral.
UUCCUACGGGGCGCAGCAGUGGGGAAUAUUGCACAAUGGGGGAAACCCUGAUGCAGCAACGCCGCGUGAGUGAAGAAGUCAUUCGUGAUGUAAAGCUCUAUCAGCAGGGAAGAAAAUGACGGUACCUGACUAAGAAGCCCUGGCUAACUACGUGCCAGCAGCCGCGGUAAUACGUAGGGGGCAAGCGUUAUCCGGAUUCACUGGGUGUAAAGGGAGCGUAGACGGCCAUGCAAGCCUGGAGUGAAAGCCCGGGGCCCAACCCCGGGACUGCUCUGGGAACUGUGCGGCUGGAGUGCGGGGGGGGG